GAUGAACGCUGACAGAAUGCUUAACACAUGCAAGUCAACUUGAACUUCGGUUUGGGUGGCGGACGGGUGAGUAACGCGUAAAGAACUUGCCUCACAGCUAGGGACAACAUUUGGAAACGAAUGCUAAUACUUGAUAUUAUGAUUUUAGGGCAUCCUAGAAUUAUGAAAGCUAUAUGCGCUGUGAGAGAGCUUUGCGUCCCAUUAGCUAGUUGGAGAGGUAACGGCUCACCAAGGCGAUGAUGGGUAGCCGGCCUGAGAGGGUGAACGGCCACAAGGGGACUGAGACACGGCCCUUACUCCUACGGGAGGCAGCAGUGGGGAAUAUUGGACAAUGGACCAAGAGUCUGAUCCAGCAAUUCUGUGUGCACGAUGAAGUUUUUCGGAAUGUAAAGUGCUUUCAGUUGGGAAGAAAAAAAUGACGGUACCAACAGAAGAAGUGACGGCUAAAUACGUG
This 454-nucleotide ribosomal RNA is filed under the name uncultured bacterium. RNAcentral's name for it is "partial 16S ribosomal RNA". It matches the Rfam family "Bacterial small subunit ribosomal RNA", at positions 28 to 507 of the family's 1533-position model. The record is from RNAcentral.